AGAGUUUGAUCCUGGCUCAGAACGAACGCUGGCGGCAGGCUUAACACAUGCAAGUCGAAGGUGAAGCGGGGCUUCGGCCCCGUGGAAACUGGCGCACGGGUGAGUAACGCGUGGGAAUCUACCCCGGGGUGGGGAAUAACCGCUGGAAACGGCGGCUAAUACCGCAUACGCCUUGCGAGGGGAAGCUUUAGCGCCCUGGGACGAGCCCGCGUCGGAUUAGCUUGUUGGUGAGGUAACGGCUCACCAAGGCUUCGAUCCGUAGCUGGUCUGAGAGGAUGAUCAGCCACACUGGGACUGAGACACGGCCCAGACUCCUACGGGAGGCAGCAGUGGGGAAUAUUGGACAAUGGGGGCAACCCUGAUCCAGCCAUGCCGCGUGCGUGAAGAAGGCCCUAGGGUUGUAAAGCGCUUUCGGCGGGGAAGAUGAUGACGGUACCCGCAGAAGAAGCUCCGGCUAACUCCGUGCCAGCAGCCGCGGUAAUACGGAGGGGGCUAGCGUUGUUCGGAAUUACUGGGCGUAAAGGGCGCGUAGGCGGAUUGUCAAGUCAGAGGUGAAAGCCCUGGGCUCAACCUGGGAACUGCCUUUGAAACUAACGGUCUAGAGUCCGAGAGAGGAUGGCGGAAUUCCCAGUGUAGAGGUGAAAUUCGU
RNAcentral lists this ribosomal RNA (649 nucleotides) under uncultured bacterium. Its description in RNAcentral is "bacterial SSU rRNA". It matches the Rfam family "Bacterial small subunit ribosomal RNA", at positions 8 to 691 of the family's 1533-position model. The record is from RNAcentral.